GUGGGGAAUUUUGGACAAUGGGCGCAAGCCUGAUCCAGCAAUGCCGCGUGUGUGAAGAAGGCCUUCGGGUUGUAAAGCACUUUUGGCAGGAAAGAAAUAGCGCGUGCUAAUACCAUGCGCGAAUGACGGUACCUGCAGAAUAAGCACCGGCUAACUACGUGCCAGCAGCCGCGGUAAGACGUAGGGUGCAAGCGUUAAUCGGAAUUACUGGGUGUAAAGCGUGCGCAGGCGGUUUUGUAAGACAGGUGUGAAAUCCCCGGGCUCAACCUGGGAACUGCACUUGUGACUGCAAGGCUAGAGUGUGUCAGAGGGAGGUGGAAUUCCGCGUGUAGCAGUGAAAUGCGUAGAGAUGCGGAGGAACACCGAUGGCGAAGGCAGCCUCCUGGGAUAACACUGACGCUCAGGCACGAAAGCGUGGGGAGCAAACAGGAUUAGAUACCCUUGUAGUCC
RNAcentral lists this ribosomal RNA (450 nucleotides) under uncultured bacterium. Its description in RNAcentral is "partial 16S ribosomal RNA". It matches the Rfam family "Bacterial small subunit ribosomal RNA", at positions 354 to 796 of the family's 1533-position model. The record is from RNAcentral.